Molecule: ribosomal RNA, 627 nt
Filed under: Moesziomyces bullatus
Lineage: Eukaryota; Fungi; Basidiomycota; Ustilaginomycetes; Ustilaginales; Ustilaginaceae
Also listed under: 1 other name
Description: partial large subunit ribosomal RNA
Rfam family: Eukaryotic large subunit ribosomal RNA
Source: RNAcentral
AGCGGAGGAAAAGAAACUAACAAGGAUUCCCCUAGUAACGGCGAGUGAAGAGGGAAGAGCCCAAGAUUGAAAGCUGGCGUCUUCGGCGUCCGCAUUGUAAUCUCAAGAAGUGUUUUCCGCUUCGGACCAAGCCUAAGUCCCUUGGAAAAGGGCAUCAUAGAGGGUGAUAAUCCCGUACAUGGCUUGGAGCGCCCGAAGCUUUGUGAUACGCUUUCUAAGAGUCGAGUUGUUUGGGAAUGCAGCUCAAAAUGGGUGGUAAAUGCCAUCUAAGGCUAAAUAUUGGGGAGAGACCGAUAGCGAACAAGUACAGUGAUGGAAAGAUGAAAAGAACUUUGAAAAGAGAGUUAAACAGUACGUGAAAUUGCCAAAAGGGAAGGGUAGGAGGUCAGAGAUGCGGCCUGGGAUUCAGCCUUGCUUUUGCUUGGUGUUUUUCCCAGAUUGCAGGCCAACGUCGGUUUUGGGCACUGGAGAAGGGUAGGAGGAACGUGGCACCUCUCGGGGUGUGUUAUAGCCUCCUACUGGAUACAGCGACCGAGACCGAGGACAGCAGCGUACUCGCAAGAGCGGGCCUUCGGGCACCUUUACGCUUAGGGCGUUGGCAUAAUGGCCCUCUACCACCCGUCUUGA